Molecule: ribosomal RNA, 600 nt
Filed under: Amycolatopsis sp.
Lineage: Bacteria; Bacillati; Actinomycetota; Actinomycetes; Pseudonocardiales; Pseudonocardiaceae
Description: bacterial SSU rRNA
Rfam family: Bacterial small subunit ribosomal RNA
Source: RNAcentral
GCUCAGGACGAACGCUGGCGGCGUGCUUAACACAUGCAAGUCGAACGCUGAACCGGUUUCGGCCGGGGAUGAGUGGCGAACGGGUGAGUAACACGUGGGUAAUCUGCCCUGUACUCUGGGAUAAGCCUGGGAAACUGGGUCUAAUACCGGAUACGACCAUUACAGGCAUCUGUGGUGGUGGAAAGUUCCGGCGGUAUGGGAUGAACCCGCGGCCUAUCAGCUUGUUGGUGGGGUAAUGGCCUACCAAGGCGACGACGGGUAGCCGGCCUGAGAGGGUGACCGGCCACACUGGGACUGAGACACGGCCCAGACUCCUACGGGAGGCAGCAGUGGGGAAUAUUGCACAAUGGGCGCAAGCCUGAUGCAGCGACGCCGCGUGAGGGAUGACGGCCUUCGGGUUGUAAACCUCUUUCGCCAGGGACGAAGCGCAAGUGACGGUACCUGGAUAAGAAGCACCGGCUAACUACGUGCCAGCAGCCGCGGUAAUACGUAGGGUGCGAGCGUUGUCCGGAAUUAUUGGGCGUAAAGAGCUCGUAGGCGGUUUGUCGCGUCGGCUGUGAAAUCUGGAGGCUUAACCUUCAGCGUGCAGUCGAUACGGGC